Molecule: ribosomal RNA, 243 nt
Filed under: uncultured bacterium
Lineage: Bacteria
Description: partial small subunit ribosomal RNA
Rfam family: Bacterial small subunit ribosomal RNA
Source: RNAcentral
AGAAUCAACGCUGGCGGCGUGCCUAACACAUGCAAGUCGCACGAGAAAGGGUAGCAAUACCUGAGUAAAGUGGCGCACGGGUGAGUAACACGUGACUAACCUACCCUGGAGUGGGGGAUAACUGAGGGAAACCUUAGCUAAUACCGCAUAAUACCUACGGGUCAAAGGAGCAAUUCGCUUCAGGAGGGGUCGCGGCCGAUUAGUUAGUUGGCGGGGUAAUGGCCCACCAAGACAGUGAUCGGU